UAAUAUGACUUGAUGCCAUGUGUAUGACUCAAUAUAAAAACUAGAACCGCAACAGAUCUUAAAAGCAUAAGUAUUGUAUCAUUGUUAGAAGAUACAAUGACGAAGACUCAUAUGGACUUCGGCUACACCAUCAAAGCUUUGAGAAGCAAGAAGGAGCUUGGUUAGUGGUUCGGAGUCGAAUAUAAC
Molecule: small RNA, 186 nt
Filed under: Arabidopsis thaliana (thale cress)
Lineage: Eukaryota; Viridiplantae; Streptophyta; Magnoliopsida; Brassicales; Brassicaceae
Description: ATSL270110
Source: RNAcentral